AAAAUUCUAAGGUUUCCGCAUAGUUAAAAUACACAGAAACUUAAAGAGAUGAAAUAUUAUUAUUCAAAUGACAUCGAUUUUCUUCUUUGCACCAGAAACUCUUGUUUUAUUUUUGCAUUUCAUGAAACUCAUUAUUUUUCUAUUUGAAACACAAUAGAUAAUAAAUUAAAACUAAAAUAUCAUAUUUUUUUGAAAUGCUUAAUGAAAACACGUUUUUAAAAAAUCUUAAGAAGUGCCAUAAAGAAAUAAUCAAAAUUAGAAAAAAAAAUAUAACAGAUCACAUGCCGUACAUAAAGUAUGUAAUAUUGUAACAACCCCUUUUUUUUAAUGAAGUCAUUAACAGAUGUUAGAUUUCAAUUAUAUGUCCAAUAAUUUAUACCUAAGAUUGGUAAAUCACACAUUUUUGUAGUUCUGUAUGUAAUUCAAUAUUGUCUAUAUUAAACAAAAUAUCUAUGUAAUUAUGUUGUACGUUUUCUGAAUUCUUGUAAAGUAUUUUAAUAUUUUUAAUAUUUUUUUCAUAUUUUUUCAUCUUGAAGUUAUUGUUCUAUUUAUAAUUAAAAAUAAGAAUUUAUGAAAACUUAUUCUUAAGAAGUAAAUUACUUUGCAAAAUUUUAUCAACAUUUUCCUUAGUUACUAGGUUUUAUUUCAAAUAACAGAUCGUAAAUAGCUCCAAAUGAUGGUUGCAUAUAUUUUUAAAGAUCAGUUGCAGAAUUCUGAAUCAAAUUCUUACAUAAAAUAUUGGUACUCUUCUUUUGAAUCUUCAAUAUUAUUGCUAUCAAACAAUCUCAUGGUUCUAUAUGAUUGUACAUCUAAAAUCAUUAACCACAUAUAAAUUGCAUAAGAAAAUUUAGUUUUGUAGCUUUAAAAAUGUGAUUUCUUUGACUUAUCAAAAAAUAACUUACUUCUUUAAUAGAGGUUUAAAUAAUAGUUUUACAUUAAAUAAUUUUUUUAAUUCAAAUUAACAACUUGGAUCUUCUAAUCUAUUAAAAACAAUGUUUUUAUUGUAAUUGAAUUAUCAUCUAAAAUAAGAAGUUUAAAUGAAUAUUUAACAACCUAAAUAAAACUAAGCUAACAUAGUUUGUUAAUUUCUUUUUAAAGAAUUAUUGUUACAAUAUAUAGCUCUUAAAUUAAUAUUAUUUAUAAUAUGAAACAUAUGUGUUAAAUGGUUGGUUAAUGAAAAGUUGAUAAAUCAAAGGUUCUAAAAAGAUAAUUCUCAAAUCUUACAUUUGUAAUAAAACAACAAUAAUAAACAUAUUAUUGCGGACAUUAUAUUUUUUUAUAUGAUAUAAUUAAUAAUAAACAAAUGCACAUAAUUUCAAACAUAAGAGUAGUCAAUAUUAUGGAUAUUUCUUUUAAGUUCAUUAUAUAUAUACAUAUACUCAAUAAUUAUAGCAAAAAGAUACCAUUUUAUUAUAAGUUUUAAAUCAUGUCAGACCAAGUUAUUUGUUUUAAUACACCUUAACAUGGAUUAACAUGGAAUAACUUAGUUUAUGUAUGAUUCAAUAAAAUCAUGACCUAAUAAUUAUAUAUAUAGUAGAGGGUUUGUAUAAUAUAAUAAUAUAACUAUAUUAUUAUAGAUUAUCAUGUUAUUAAAGUUUAAAACCAUUUCUAUAUAUAUCCUGAUAAAAACUCCACGUAACACACAAGGAAACUUACGGAUUGUGUGUAUGUAUAAAUCCAUUUGUCUUUUCAGAAUCUGAAUGUCAAUUGAUUCCCAAGACCGAGCCAAGCAGAAGUAAGAAAAACUUGGAUAGCAAAAUGGCUUAAAUCCACGCCUCCGAAGCUCUACCCUAAACCCUAAUCCCACAUUUCGCCAAACAAGGUUAAGUUUAGUUUGGUUUCCAUGUAAAUAAAAAACAGUUUUGCUUGUGAAGGAUCCAGUUUUGCAACAUCUCUUCCAUCUGCUCCAGUCUCCAGGAAUUCCCGCCGAGGUAACAGUAACAGCAGCAGCAGCAGCAUCGUCACAGCUUCGGCGAAAGGAAUGUAACGAUGUACAGAAGAGAAUCUAUUGAUAGAUAUCUAUCAAGUCAAAUGAAGAAGAAAUGAAUGUAAAAG
Molecule: long non-coding RNA, 2055 nt
Filed under: Physcomitrium patens
Lineage: Eukaryota; Viridiplantae; Streptophyta; Bryopsida; Funariales; Funariaceae
Description: long non-coding RNA (PPAT_LNC013809)
Source: RNAcentral